RNAcentral lists this ribosomal RNA (497 nucleotides) under uncultured bacterium. Its description in RNAcentral is "partial 16S ribosomal RNA". It matches the Rfam family "Bacterial small subunit ribosomal RNA", at positions 28 to 507 of the family's 1533-position model. The record is from RNAcentral.
GACGAACGCUGGCGGCGUGCCUAAUACAUGCAAGUAGAACGCUGAAGGAAGGAGCUUGCUCUUUCUGGAUGAGUUGCGAACGGGUGAGUAACGCGUAGGUAACCUGCCUGGUAGCGGGGGAUAACUAUUGGAAACGAUAGCUAAUACCGCAUAAAAUUGAUUAUUGCAUGAUAGUCAAUUAAAAGGUGCAACUGCACCACUACCAGAUGGACCUGCGUUGUAUUAGCUAGUUGGUGGGGUAACGGCUCACCAAGGCGACGAUACAUAGCCGACCUGAGAGGGUGAUCGGCCACACUGGGACUGAGACACGGCCCAGACUCCUACGGGAGGCAGCAGUAGGGAAUCUUCGGCAAUGGACGGAGGUCUGACCGAGCAACGCCGCGUGAGUGAAGAAGGUUUUCGGAUCGUAAAGCUCUGUUGUAAGAGAAGAACGAGUGUGAGAGUGGAAAGUUCACACUGUGACGGUAGCUUACCAGAAAGGGACGGCUAACUACGUG